This 500-nucleotide ribosomal RNA is filed under the name uncultured bacterium. RNAcentral's name for it is "partial 16S ribosomal RNA". It matches the Rfam family "Bacterial small subunit ribosomal RNA", at positions 30 to 523 of the family's 1533-position model. The record is from RNAcentral.
AUUGAACGCUGGCGGAAUGCUUUACACAUGCAAGUCGAACGGCAGCACGGACUUCGGUCUGGUGGCGAGUGGCGAACGGGUGAGUAAUGUAUCGGAACGUGCCCAGUCGUGGGGGAUAACGUAGUGAAAAUUACGCUAAUACCGCAUACGAUCUAUGGAUGAAAGCGGGGGAUCGCAAGACCUCGCGCGAUUGGAGCGGCCGAUAUCAGAUUAGGUAGUUGGUGGGGUAAAGGCCCACCAAGCCAACGAUCUGUAGCUGGUCCGAAAGGACGACCAGCCACACUGGAACUGAGACACGGUCCAGACUCCUACGGGAGGCAGCAGUGGGGAAUUUUGGACAAUGGGCGAAAGCCUGAUCCAGCCAUUCCGCGUGCAGGAUGAAGGCCCUCGGGUUGUAAACUGCUUUUGUACAGAACGAAAAGGUUUCUACUAAUACUAGGAGCUCAUGACGGUACUGUAAGAAUAAGCACCGGCUAACUACGUGCCAGCCGCCGCGGUAA